Long non-coding RNA from Oncorhynchus masou masou (cherry salmon), 295 nucleotides. RefSeq lists it as uncharacterized. The record is from RefSeq and is a predicted model, not a curated record. NCBI's taxonomy places the organism in Eukaryota, Metazoa, Chordata, Actinopteri, Salmoniformes, Salmonidae. The transcript has 4 exons.
CAAGCACCAGACGAUGCUGAUCCAGGUGAAGGCCCCAGUGCAGCAGCAACAGCACAUGAUGGAGACGAUGAUGAGGAGGAGACCAUCUCUCUGGAUUCCAGAAGGCAUGAGGACCCAGAUGCUAUACAGUGGGAAAACCAGCCUGGCAACAUAAGCUCACAAGCUAUCAGAAAGUUGUAUGGCAACCACCUCCGGCGCCAAAUAGAACUGGCAGACAUAGACAUUCAGUACAAGAAGAAAAAGAUGGAAAAUCUUGCACUGGAGUCCGAAAUAAAAAAGAGGACAAUUAGGAAAC